This 497-nucleotide ribosomal RNA is filed under the name uncultured bacterium. RNAcentral's name for it is "partial 16S ribosomal RNA". It matches the Rfam family "Bacterial small subunit ribosomal RNA", at positions 28 to 507 of the family's 1533-position model. The record is from RNAcentral.
GAUGAACGCUGGCGGCGUGCCUAAUACAUGCAAGUCGAGCGAACGGACGAGAAGCUUGCUUCUCUGAUGUUAGCGGCGGACGGGUGAGUAACACGUGGAUAACCUACCUAUAAGACUGGGAUAACUUCGGGAAACCGGAGCUAAUACCGUAUAAUAUUUUGAACCGCAUGGUUCAAAAGUGAAAGACGGUCUUGCUGUCACUUAUCGAUGGAUCCGCGCUGCAUUAGCUAGUUGUUAAGGUAACGGCUUACCAAGGCAACGAUGCAUAGCCGACCGGAGAGGCGGAUAGGCCACCUUGGAACGGGGACACGGUCCAGGCUCCUACGGGAGGCCGCAGUAGGGAAUCUUCCGCAAUGGGCGAAAGCCUGACGGAGCAACGCCGCGUGAGUGAUGAAGGUGUUCGGAUCGUAAAACUCUGUUAUUAGGGAAGAACAUAUGUGUAAGUAACUGUGCACAUCUUGACGGUACCUAAUCAGAAAGCCCCGGCUAACUACGUG